Molecule: ribosomal RNA, 1370 nt
Filed under: uncultured bacterium
Lineage: Bacteria
Description: bacterial SSU rRNA
Rfam family: Bacterial small subunit ribosomal RNA
Source: RNAcentral
AGAGUUUGAUCCUGGCUCAGGACGAACGCUGGCGGCGCGCCUAACACAUGCAAGUCGAACGAGCGAGAGAGAGCUUGCUUUCUCAAGCGAGUGGCGAACGGGUGAGUAACGCGUGAGGAACCUGCCUCAAAGAGGGGGACAACAGUUGGAAACGACUGCUAAUACCGCAUAAGCCCACGGCUCGGCAUCGAGCAGAGGGAAAAGGAGCAAUCCGCUUUGAGAUGGCCUCGCGUCCGAUUAGCUAGUUGGUGAGGUAAUGGCCCACCAAGGCGACGAUCGGUAGCCGGACUGAGAGGUUGAACGGCCACAUUGGGACUGAGACACGGCCCAGACUCCUACGGGAGGCAGCAGUGGGGAAUAUUGCACAAUGGGGGAAACCCUGAUGCAGCGACGCCGCGUGGAGGAAGAAGGUCUUCGGAUUGUAAACUCCUGUUGUUGAGGAAGAUAAUGACGGUACUCAACAAGGAAGUGACGGCUAACUACGUGCCAGCAGCCGCGGUAAAACGUAGGUCACAAGCGUUGUCCGGAAUUACUGGGUGUAAAGGGAGCGCAGGCGGGAAGACAAGUUGGAAGUGAAAUCUAUGGGCUCAACCCAUAAACUGCUUUCAAAACUGUUUUUCUUGAGUAGUGCAGAGGUAGGCGGAAUUCCCGGUGUAGCGGUGGAAUGCGUAGAUAUCGGGAGGAACACCAGUGGCGAAGGCGGCCUACUGGGCACCAACUGACGCUGAGGCUCGAAAGUGUGGGUAGCAAACAGGAUUAGAUACCCUGGUAGUCCACACCGUAAACGAUGAUUACUAGGUGUUGGAGGAUUGACCCCUUCAGUGCCGCAGUUAACACAAUAAGUAAUCCACCUGGGGAGUACGACCGCAAGGUUGAAACUCAAAGGAAUUGACGGGGGCCCGCACAAGCAGUGGAGUAUGUGGUUUAAUUCGACGCAACGCGAAGAACCUUACCAAGUCUUGACAUCCUGCGACGCACAUAGAAAUAUGUGUUUCCUUCGGGACGCAGAGACAGGUGGUGCAUGGUUGUCGUCAGCUCGUGUCGUGAGAUGUUGGGUUAAGUCCCGCAACGAGCGCAACCCUUACUGUCAGUUACUACGCAAGAGGACUCUGGCAGGACUGCCGUUGACAAAACGGAGGAAGGUGGGGAUGACGUCAAAUCAUCAUGCCCUUUAUGACUUGGGCUACACACGUACUACAAUGGCGUUAAACAAAGAGAAGCAAGACCGCGAGGUGGAGCAAAACUCAGAAACAACGUCCCAGUUCGGACUGCAGGCUGCAACUCGCCUGCACGAAGUCGGAAUUGCUAGUAAUCGUGGAUCAGCAUGCCACGGUGAAUACGUUCCCGGGCCUUGCACACACCGCCCGUCA